This 756-nucleotide ribosomal RNA is filed under the name Escherichia coli. Its description in RNAcentral is "bacterial SSU rRNA". It matches the Rfam family "Bacterial small subunit ribosomal RNA", at positions 10 to 751 of the family's 1533-position model. Lineage: Bacteria; Pseudomonadati; Pseudomonadota; Gammaproteobacteria; Enterobacterales; Enterobacteriaceae. The record is from RNAcentral.
AGUUUUGAAUCAUGGCUCAGAUUGAACGCUGGCGGCAGGCCUAACACAUGCAAGUCGAACGGUAACAGGGAAGCAAGCUUGCUUCUUUGCUGACGAGUGGCGGACGGGUGAGUAAUGUCUGGGAAACUGCCUGAUGGAGGGGGAUAACUACUGGAAACGGUAGCUAAUACCGCAUAACGUCGCAAGACCAAAGAGGGGGACCUUCGGGCCUCUUGCCAUCGGAUGUGCCCAGAUGGGAUUAGCUAGUAGGUGGGGUAACGGCUCACCAAGGCGACGAUCCCUAGCUGGUCUGAGAGGAUGACCAGCCACACUGGAACUGAGACACGGUCCAGACUCCUACGGGAGGCAGCAGUGGGGAAUAUUGCACAAUGGGCGCAAGCCUGAUGCAGCCAUGCCGCGUGUAUGAAGAAGGCCUUCGGGUUGUAAAGUACUUUCAGCGGGGAGGAAGGGAGUAAAGUUAAUACCUUUGCUCAUUGACGUUACCCGCAGAAGAAGCACCGGCUAACUCCGUGCCAGCAGCCGCGGUAAUACGGAGGGUGCAAGCGUUAAUCGGAAUUACUGGGCGUAAAGCGCACGCAGGCGGUUUGUUAAGUCAGAUGUGAAAUCCCCGGGCUCAACCUGGGAACUGCAUCUGAUACUGGCAAGCUUGAGUCUCGUAGAGGGGGGUAGAAUUCCAGGUGUAGCGGUGAAAUGCGUAGAGAUCUGGAGGAAUACCGGUGGCGAAGGCGGCCCCCUGGACGAAGACUGACGCUCAGG